Molecule: long non-coding RNA, 1189 nt
Organism: Mya arenaria
Lineage: Eukaryota; Metazoa; Mollusca; Bivalvia; Myida; Myidae
Exons: 3
Source: RefSeq, a predicted model, not a curated record
CAGGCCAUCUGGAAGGUAAAAACAUGGCCCAUUUCCCUGACUGCAUGUGUCCCUGGACUGGGUCGGGGCGUGGUUACAAAUGAAUGGUGCAUAACAUUCUAAAUGCAAUGUCAGAUUCACAUUGAGAGAAUUGCUACCAUUUGUCCAAAUAUUAUUUUCAUCAAUUGUGGCAAUGAAAGCAGAUAGAUCAGAUAUAAUGCACAGUAAAGAUUUUCCUUUUCUUUUUGUAAUAUAUCUUGAAGAAUAUCAAAGACUGUGGGAACUGAAAGGUUUUAUACCAAGACUUACAGUCAUAGUUGAUAAUGACAAAGUUAUCAAGUAUUGCAUUAUUCAAAUAUAAUUUCAGGUUAUGCAGGUUGUUGAGAGCAAUUAAUAUGAUGAGGGAAGGCAGGAAAGAGUACCAGUCUUAUAGUCUGUAUGUACUCGUGGCAAAAUGGUGUUCGAGCGUUGGCGAAUAAGGAUUUGCUUGCAGCGUUGAAGAACGAUAAUAUGCAAAGAACAGAAAGAAAGGUUCUCUUAACAUAGAAAGUAAAGAAAUAAUGAAGUUCACAUUACAGUUGACAAUAUGGAUGUGUUUCCUUUGUUAUUUGAACAUGAUUUAUUUUAACUUACAUAACAAAUAUGCACUACAAUAAUGAAUAUCUAUAUUAAUAGUAAUGAUAUUCCAUUAAACAUGGAUAUGGAAAAAAUAUUCUUUGACAGUGCAAGAUAAGAUAAAUCCAGACAUAGUAUCAUCCACAUACUUGAAAUUUGUCUUGUAACUACAUGUAUUUUUAUGAGGUUAAGUGGUGAGUAAUCAACUUUUAUCAUAAAAGUUUCUUAUUUGGGGAUAGUAUGUAUUUAUGUUGACACUGUGUACCUUCAUUCUCUUCAUUUUUCUGUACGAAACAAGACCAAAUGUGUCAUUUAACCGUUUUAAACUGUAUUUAUUAUACUCUUCAUUGAAUAGCCUAACAAAUUUAAAUGUGUUGUUAUUUUGAUUAUAUUGUAUCGGUGUCAUAGGGUACAUGUCCAUUCCUAGCCUUCAAGAUAAAACAGAUAUAUUCUUUGUUGUAAAAUGUGUUCUUUAUGCAUAAACUACUAACUUACAUUUUUCCGCUUAACAAGUAUUCCAACAUGCUACACAUUUACUCACCGGUUGUCUAAAGUACCCGCCAACGUUGGUCGUCCCCGCAUAUCUGUCAAUAAU